UUAAAUACACCAGCUAACACAUCAUAUUUCACAUAAGAGAUGCUCAAAUGAGAUGGAUAAACAUUAUCCAAAUGAAUUAUUGGAAAUACGUUCACUGUUCUAAAUUAAAUUGAAAGCAAAUUUUAAUCCAUUACUGAAUUUUGAAGUCACAAGAUUUUGCUCUGAUUUGGAAACCUUUUCAGCUCCUCUCCACAGCCCUGAAUUUUCCACAAGGUAAGUUUGCAAUCUUGAUCUGUUUAACACCCACUCUGCAAGCGAUAAGCAGGAGCAGUGGUUUAGUUACAAUAAAAAAUUGCUCCACCUACUAAAGUGAGCUCAUUUUGGGUAUUCAUAAUUGGAAUAAUAUGAAUUUUAAAGUUUUGGUUGUUCUUUUUCUUAAUUUUUAGCAAUUCAAGUUGUGUUCUUGGAGUUCUUCAUCUUGAAGGGCUGUGGUUUAAGAGGUGAGCCAGGCAUGGGUGGUGCCCAAGAGCCCCAGAGACCUCUCCUGCUGCUGCCCAGCUCUGCAGGGAUGGCUGGGCAAAGCUCCUCAUGGAACAGCUUUCCUGCCACACAAGAACCUGGAAAAUCACAGUGAGGGGUUUGAAACUCUUCCCCAUGUCCUACCACUAUCUGCCCUUGUGAAAAGCUGCUCAGAGGACAUUUUCAGUUCAGUCCAUCUGAAAUGUUGAUUACACCUGUAUGUAAGAGCCUGCAAUUGUGAAAUGUGAUGAAGAGCAGGGUGGGCACAGCAGCCUGUGGCAGGCAGGGUGCCCCUGCAUACCCUGGGUACUGUGCACGAGAACAGGGGUUUUCCAGCUUGGCCUCACUGUGCUGUCUCCUCAGUAGAUGGAUUUCACACCCUUCAAUGAGAAGACUGAUUGCAUGUGCCUGAGGGAGUUAAAACCUGGUUUCAUCUAUAGCUUCCUUGUUUCAUGUCUAACUUUCUCAAACUUUCACCAUUUUCCAUGGUGGUGACUGGAAUUUUCCAUGCCAGCCUUGCACCCAAAGGUGACUAUAUAAAGAUCACUAUGAUCAAAGAAAA
Haemorhous mexicanus (house finch) is the source of this 1021-nucleotide long non-coding RNA. RefSeq lists it as uncharacterized. Lineage: Eukaryota; Metazoa; Chordata; Aves; Passeriformes; Fringillidae. The transcript has 2 exons. The record is from RefSeq and is a predicted model, not a curated record.